GACGAACGCUGGCGGCGUGCUUAACACAUGCAAGUCGAACGGCAAGGCCCUGCUUGCAGGGUCCUCGAGUGGCGAACGGGCGAGUAACACGUGGGUGAUCUGCCCUGCACUUCGGGAUAAGCCUGGGAGACUGGGUCUAAUACCGGAUAGGAGCCAUUUUUAGUGUGAUGGUUGGAAAGUUUUUUCGGUGUAGGAUGAGCUCGCGGCCUAUCAGCUUGUUGGGGGGGUGAUGGCGUACCAAGGCGACGACGGGUAGCCGGCCUGUGAGGGUGGACGGCGACAUUGAGACUGAGAGACGGCACAGGCUGCUACGAGAGGAAGAUGUGGGGAAUCUUGCACAAGGGGCGCAGGCCUGAUGCAGCGACGCCGCGUGGGGGAUGACGGCCUUCGGGUUGUAGACACCUUUCGCUAGGGACGAAGCUUUUUGUGACGGUACCUAGAUAAGAAGCACCGGCUAACUACGUG
Molecule: ribosomal RNA, 465 nt
Filed under: uncultured bacterium
Lineage: Bacteria
Description: partial 16S ribosomal RNA
Rfam family: Bacterial small subunit ribosomal RNA
Source: RNAcentral